UAGGGAAUCUUCCGCAAUGGACGCAAGUCUGACGGAGCAACGCCGCGUGAGUGAAGAAGGAUUUCGGAUCGUAAAACUCUGUUGUUAGAGAAGAACAGCGCAUAGAGUAACUGUUAUGCGUGUGACGGUAUCUAACCAGAAAGCCACGGCUAACUACGUGCCAGCAGCCGCGGUAAUACGUAGGUGGCAAGCGUUGUCCGGAUUUAUUGGGCGUAAAGCGAGCGCAGGCGGUCAAUUAAGUCUGAUGUGAAAGCCCCCGGCUCAACCGGGGAGGGUCAUUGGAAACUGGUUGACUUGAGUGCAGAAGAGGAGAGUGGAAUUCCAUGUGUAGCGGUGAAAUGCGUAGAUAUAUGGAGGAACACCAGUGGCGAAGGCGACUCUCUGGUCUGUAACUGACGCUGAGGCUCGAAAGCGUGGGUAGCAAACAGG
RNAcentral lists this ribosomal RNA (429 nucleotides) under Bacteroidota bacterium. Its description in RNAcentral is "Bacteroidetes bacterium partial 16S ribosomal RNA". It matches the Rfam family "Bacterial small subunit ribosomal RNA", at positions 355 to 776 of the family's 1533-position model. The record is from RNAcentral. Lineage: Bacteria; Pseudomonadati; Bacteroidota.